This 933-nucleotide long non-coding RNA is filed under the name Fukomys damarensis (Damara mole-rat). Its description in RNAcentral is "lncRNA (ENSFDAG00000024690.1)". The record is from RNAcentral. Lineage: Eukaryota; Metazoa; Chordata; Mammalia; Rodentia; Bathyergidae.
AUUACCUCAUUAUAAGGAAAAUGAAUCAUUCUUCAAAGGCAAAAGGUACUGGUGCUCCAAAAUCAGAUAAACAACGCUCAGUAAAAAGCCACACAGCACGUUUGCCCCAGGUUCCAAAGGCAAAGGAGACACCAACACAAGAACAGUAGUCGAUGCCUGCAAAAUGAUGGGAAAAAAGAAAUUUUAUGAGCAAAUUAUGGAAGAUGAACGUCUUUUCCAGAAGUUCAAAGUAACUGACUAUGUAGAUAUCGUCACCACCCAAGAUUACAUUAUUCCAGUCUACUGGAUGAGAUCCCCAUAUCGUCUGGUGGCAAGAAUAACCUCUGGUGAAAAUUAAACCUCAAAAAUAUUCCCAGGACAAUGAUGAUGUAUGACAUAGUUAAUUAUGCAGAAUCUGGAAUAAAGUCUGCCCGUUUACAAAAAGAAAUGAAGUAUCUGUUACAGAGACCACGGACGGAAGAGAUGCGUCAGCACCAGCUACAGAUUGUUUCUGAAGUUAGGUGUCCAUCCUUAGUGAAUCUCCAGCCUUUAUAUCGGCCCUACCAACAGCAAAGUAAAAUGAGACAUUUGGGGCGUCGAUCCAAGCAAGCACAAAUGAAAGUUGAAAAGAUGAGAAAACCUUUUAUGACACCUAAGAAAAAAGAUGCUUCUGAGCAACCGCAAAAAGCCAUACCGCCUAAAAGGGUACAAGAGACAAUUGUCUUCUCCAGCCCGGCUUUUGACAUUGUGAAAUAUAAAGAAUGCACCUCAGAUAGUGAAUUGGGAGAAGAUGAAGAUGAACAGGAAGUAUUUGCCUGGUAUCAACAGUUGUGUCUUCAGUAUUUUCCAUGAUGUCAAUACACAGCUAAUUGAUAGGACACCAAUGUUGUUCAUCUGUCUAUAAAUAAAGGACAAUCAAAUAAAAACAAGUCCUUGGUCUGCUCUCUUAACCAA